AGGGCUGUGGCUCAGUGGUAGAGUGGCCUAGCAUGUGUUUGGCACUGGGUUCGAUUCCCAGCCCUA
Molecule: transfer RNA, 66 nt
Filed under: Marmota monax (woodchuck)
Lineage: Eukaryota; Metazoa; Chordata; Mammalia; Rodentia; Sciuridae
Rfam family: tRNA
About the family: Transfer RNA (tRNA) molecules are approximately 80 nucleotides in length. Their secondary structure includes four short double-helical elements and three loops (D, anti-codon, and T loops).
Source: Rfam by way of RNAcentral